Molecule: unclassified non-coding RNA, 539 nt
Filed under: Hevea brasiliensis (rubber tree)
Lineage: Eukaryota; Viridiplantae; Streptophyta; Magnoliopsida; Malpighiales; Euphorbiaceae
Source: RNAcentral
AGAUAUGUAAGAUUAGGAUAUUCUAAAAUGGAUAUUGAAUUUGUCGCUUAUGCCUUGAGUUAUUUAACCAGCUUAUGAUGAGGAUUAUUUUUGUUGUAUAUGAGUCUUCCAACAAUGAGGCUUAAUUUCAUAUUAAGAUUUAUGCUUGUGGCUUCUUCAACUUAACGCUGUAGAAUGUUUAUCUGUUUAUUGUAUAAUUUCCAAAUAUCCAUCAUCUGUUGCAGGAUUACUUUAUAAAACAAGAGUAGCUAUCAUUGUCAUCAUCGUCAUUGUUAUAUUUUUAUGUGGAUUUUAGGGUAUUGUUACACCUAGAUAUUUAGUUUUUCUUAAUGCAGAAACCUAGGUGGCCUUUUUUUUCUUGUUGAAUGUUAUUUCUGCUUCGAGAUUGAGAAAAAUAGGAUACUAAAAUGCCAUAUGAUUUAGUGCCUUAACCGGGAGCAUUAUAUCAAAUGUACAAAAUGCAUACAAAUCAAUUAACUCAUAAAAAUCUUGUCUGCACUCUCGAGUCUCUAGCAGUGUUACUAGACUUUGUGAGUUAU